Long non-coding RNA from Pollicipes pollicipes, 1387 nucleotides. RefSeq lists it as uncharacterized. The record is from RefSeq and is a predicted model, not a curated record. The transcript is spliced from 3 exons. NCBI's taxonomy places the organism in Eukaryota, Metazoa, Arthropoda, Thecostraca, Pollicipedomorpha, Pollicipedidae.
GACGAGGACCUGGCGGCCGCCCGCGCCGCCAGCAUCAUCGCCAUCAGGCUCUUCCGCACCUCGGACUACGACUCCAACUUCAUCCAGGAUGUCACGCCGUUCUAUAAGUACAGGAGGCCGAUGUUCGUCACGAGUUUCGAGCCGUUCGGAGGAAUCUUGGGCUUGGAAAGCUUCUGAAGUCGGCGGAUACAAGAGUGCACCGCUGGCGGCAGUGUGACGGGAGACCAUCAUGGACACUGUCCAGGGCAGGGCAGCGGCGACCGAUCGUAGAGCUUCUAAACUCUGACGCCAGUGACCAACCACGCGCCUGCUGAACUCUGACGUCAGCAACCCAAUGUGCACCUUCUAAACUCUGACGUCAGCAACUAACCGCGCACCUGCUGAACUCUGACGUCCGUGACCAGCCGCGCGUCUUCUAAACUCUGCGACCAGAGACCAACUGCACACCUUUUAUUUAAUAUUACAUAUACGAAACGACCUGCAUUCAGCACAGCGCCUGUACAUGCGCCGUUUGCACGAGAUGCCCAGCAUUUGGCCGAACUCUGACAUCAGUGGCGAGCGCCAUGUCCCAGCUUCCGAGCUCUGACGUCAAUGGCCAUUGGCCAGGCCUCUGAGCUCUGCCCUAGUGCCGUCACAUAUGUGACGAUUGCUGGGACGGGCAGAGAUGCUGCAUGCCUGACGGAUAUGUAGGCCAAACAUCGCGCGGCACACAAAGCAAAGACAAAACCAAAAAUGGAGCAAUGAAUCUGGCUGCAUUUGCGAGCUUUUAUGCAAAACCUGUACCUGUUCACUACUAACAUUGACGUUUGAGAAUGACGUUUUUGAUUAAUGCCAAAGUGAGACGCAAAGCACGCGUGCCCCCAUUGUCUGGAAUUGCCGAUGUCAGAGCUAGGCAUGACAGGUUAGGCAAGUGGAGCACGUGACAGUGAGGCUCGGAUCAGCACGCGAAACGAUGACCAGUCGCUUUCAAUCGACCAAAGGCUGCAGAUUCAGGUUCUCCUUUCAAAUACCACAUUCCAUGUAGAGGGUCUCAACUGUGAUUAUUUUUCAUUCAUUAUUGUAUAUUUAUUUUCAGUUAAGGACGCAUUUUCAUCGAAAUGCGUUUGGCAAACAUCGGUGCAGUUUUGCCGAAGUGGACACUGGAGCAUAAGACGGCGAUCGUCCUUACGUAUUUCCACUUAGUGUUGCAUGUAAUCUAGCCGAUAUGAACGUGCGCGAAAGCGUUUUGCUGUGUCGCUACCGUGUCAAAUCACGUAUCCGGUGCGAUGGCCGUGUUGAAAGCUGCUUUUGUUGGGGGUCAUGCGUGUUGGAUAGGUGAGUGUGAUGUUGUAGCACUAGAAUAGUUUGUCAUCUAUUGAGAAUAUCGCUUGAGAAUAAACGUUUAUUU